GACGUAGGGGGCGAGCGUUGUCCGGAUUUAUUGGGCGUAAAGAGCUCGUAGGCGGCUCAGAAAGUCGGGUGUGAAACCUCCAGGCUCAACCUGGAGACGCCACCUGAUACUGCUGUGGCUAGAGUCCGGUAGGGGAACACGGAAUUCCCGGUGUAGCGGUGAAACGCUUAGAUAUCGGGAGGAACACCAGUGGCGAAGGCAGCCUCCUGGGUCAAGAUUGACGCUCAUGCACGAAAGCGUGGGGAGCAAACAGG
This 254-nucleotide ribosomal RNA is filed under the name uncultured bacterium. RNAcentral describes it as "partial 16S ribosomal RNA". It matches the Rfam family "Bacterial small subunit ribosomal RNA", at positions 524 to 776 of the family's 1533-position model. The record is from RNAcentral.